CGUGAUGUCACGCGCCGUCCUGCAUCAACCGCGGCUGGAGGAUAAUGCGCCAAACUAACUCUUACCACACUGACACGGUCAUAUGAAGAAAAAGGAAAGCUGCGAGAACAAAAGAUCACCUGUGGCUGCUGGAAGUGGCAAUCAAACAGGAUGGGGGUGUUUCCUAGGAUGACUCCCUGGUCCAAACAGUGGCUCGUAAAAAGGGUGCUCUGUAGCUGCACAGCUCACUGCCAUGAGAGAUGCAAGCGGGACGAGAUGUGAGGACAGAGGAGCUGACAUCAGUUACUUAUGACCCAUAAUUUUAGGCAGAAUCUUCGCACCCUACUCCACCCUGGUCACCUCCAGCCAUCGUAUCCAGAGUCCAGGGCAAGCUCUCAAAGACUCUUUCCUCUACUCAUCCAGAUCAUCGGCACUUCUCCAUCUUCCUCUCAUCUCAUCUUCACCACUUCUACCACCACCAGUGUCUGGGUUCCCUAUUCAACUAUGGAUUC
Epinephelus lanceolatus (giant grouper) is the source of this 491-nucleotide non-coding RNA. Lineage: Eukaryota; Metazoa; Chordata; Actinopteri; Perciformes; Serranidae. The record is from RefSeq and is a predicted model, not a curated record.